GCUCUUCUAGUAUACUUAUUACAAUUGACUUCCAAUCUCUAAAAUCUGGUAACAUUCCAGAGAAGAGCA
Molecule: transfer RNA, 69 nt
Filed under: Steatornis caripensis (oilbird)
Lineage: Eukaryota; Metazoa; Chordata; Aves; Caprimulgiformes; Steatornithidae
Description: tRNA-Gly
Source: RNAcentral